RNAcentral lists this ribosomal RNA (433 nucleotides) under uncultured bacterium. RNAcentral's name for it is "partial 16S ribosomal RNA". It matches the Rfam family "Bacterial small subunit ribosomal RNA", at positions 29 to 507 of the family's 1533-position model. The record is from RNAcentral.
AACGAACGCUGGCGGCAUGCCUAACACAUGCAAGUCGAACGAGACCUUCGGGUCUAGUGGCGCACGGGUGCGUAACGCGUGGGAACCUGCCCUUAGGGUCGGAAUAACUCCCCGAAAGGGGUGCUAAUACCGGAUAAUGUCUUCGGACGAAAGAUUUAUCGCCUUUGGAUGGGCCCGCGUUGGAUUAGCUAGUUGGUAGGGUAAAAGCCUACCAAGGCGACGAUCCAUAGCUGGUCUGAGAGGAUGAUCAGCCACACUGGGACUGAGACACGGCCCAGAAUCCUACGGGAGGCAGCAGUGGGGAAUAUUGGACAAUGGGCGAAAGGCUGAUCCAGCAAUGCCGCGUGAGUGAUGAAGGCCUUAGGGUUGUAAAGCUCUUUUACCCGGGAUGAUAAUGACAGUACCGGGAGAAUAAGCUCCGGCUAACUCCGUG